Molecule: transfer RNA, 82 nt
Filed under: Postia placenta MAD-698-R-SB12
Lineage: Eukaryota; Fungi; Basidiomycota; Agaricomycetes; Polyporales; Adustoporiaceae
Description: tRNA-Trp
Source: RNAcentral
GAACCCGUGGCGCAGCGGUAGCGCGUGAGAUUCCAGUCACGGGAAAUCCUCAAGGUCAUCCGUUCAAUCCGGGUCGGGUUCA